RNAcentral lists this non-coding RNA (164 nucleotides) under human gut metagenome. Its description in RNAcentral is "Lysine riboswitch". It matches the Rfam family "Lysine riboswitch aptamer". From Rfam's summary of the family: Riboswitches are metabolite binding domains within certain messenger RNAs that serve as precision sensors for their corresponding targets. Allosteric rearrangement of mRNA structure is mediated by ligand binding, and this results in modulation of gene expression. The record is from RNAcentral.
AGAUAGAGGAGCGGUUGACAACAGUAGGCGGCUGCACAUGUCGGGCAGACAGCAGCCGGUGAAAGGGGAUACCGCCGAAGUGAAAUGCACCGCCCAUGCAUUUUGCUGGUAUUGCGGAUAAUAUCCGCGGUACUGUCACAUUUUUUCGAUGUGGAGAGCUAUCA